GUCAACUUGUGGCCCAGUUCUGUGUGUCAAUUGGCCUCUAAGAAGUACCCAGCAGCCCCUGCUCAAAUCUCCUCUCCCCCUGUCCGGUGUGACCUGGGAGCCCUGUGACGCCGCUUUAUUGCUUAGGAAGUGAUGGUACACUGAAAUGUUCAGCGGUUUGCCCAUGGCCUCAGGAGAGCAAAGCUGGCCUGCCCACCUCACCGCACGACAGUGGGGUCCCCGUCAUCCUUCCUGACCGAGUUCUUCACCUCUUCGAGGAGCCUUCCCUCCCUACCCCCGGGCCUGUAAGUGAUUCCCUCCAUCCCCUCUGUGUCCAUGCAGCUCUGCAUGGUGGGGACGGGUCCUGGGGACACCCCUGUG
This 360-nucleotide long non-coding RNA is filed under the name Rhinopithecus bieti (black snub-nosed monkey). RNAcentral's name for it is "lncRNA (ENSRBIG00000045998.1)". Lineage: Eukaryota; Metazoa; Chordata; Mammalia; Primates; Cercopithecidae. The record is from RNAcentral.